UUCGGGGUACUCGAGUGGCGAACGGGUGAGUAACACGUGGGUGAUCUGCCCUGCACUUUGGGAUAAGCCAAGUGGGAAACUGGGUCUAAUACCGAAUAGGACCACGCGCUUCAUGGUGUGUGGUGGAAAGCUUUUGCGGUGUGGGAUGGGCCCGCGGCCUAUCAGCUUGUUGGUGGGGUAAUGGCCUACCAAGGCGACGACGGGUAGCCGGCCUGAGAGGGUGACCGGCCACACUGGGACUGAGAUACGGCCCAGACUCCUACGGGAGGCAGCAGUGGGGAAUAUUGCACAAUGGGCGCAAGCCUGAUGCAGCGACGCCGCGUGAGGGAUGACGGCCUUCGGGUUGUAAACCUCUUUCAAUAGGGACGAAGCGCAAGUGACGGUACCUAUAGAAGAAGCACCGGCCAACUACGUGCCAGCAGCCGCGGUAAUACGUAGGGUGCGAGCGUUGUCCGGAAUUACUGGGCGUAAAGAGCUCGUAGGUGGUUUGUCGCGUUGUUCGUGAAAACUCACAGCUUAACUGUGGGCGUGCGGGCGAUACGGGCAGACUAGAGUACUGCAGGGGAGACUGGAAUUCCUGGUGUAGCGGUGGAAUGCGCAGAUAUCAGGAGGAACACCGGUGGCGAAGGCGGGUCUCUGGGCAGUAACUGACGCUGAGGAGCGAAAGCGUGGGGAGCGAACAGGAUUAGAUACCCUGGUAGUCCACGCCGUAAACGGUGGGUACUAGGUGUGGGUUCCUUCCUUGGGAUCCGUGCCGUAGCUAACGCAUUAAGUACCCCGCCUGGGGAGUACGGCCGCAAGGCUAAAACUCAAAGGAAUUGACGGGGGCCCGCACAAGCGGCGGAGCAUGUGGAUUAAUUCGAUGCAACGCGAAGAACCUUACCUGGGUUUGACAUGCACAGGACGCCGGCAGAGAUGUCGGUUCCCUUGUGGCCUGUGUGCAGGUGGUGCAUGGCUGUCGUCAGCUCGUGUCGUGAGAUGUUGGGUUAAGUCCCGCAACGAGCGCAACCCUUGUCCUAUGUUGCCAGCGGGUUAUGCCGGGGACUCGUAGGAGACUGCCGGGGUCAACUCGGAGGAAGGUGGGGAUGACGUCAAGUCAUCAUGCCCCUUAUGUCCAGGGCUUCACACAUGCUACAAUGGCCGGUACAAAGGGCUGCGAUGCCGUGAGGUGGAGCGAAUCCUUUCAAAGCCGGUCUCAGUUCGGAUCGGGGUCUGCAACUCGACCCCGUGAAGUCGGAGUCGCUAGUAAUCGCAGAUCAGCAACGCUGCGGUGAAUACGUUCCCGGGCCUUGUACACACCGCCCGGUNCGUCACGUCRUGAAAGUCGGUAACACCCGAAGCC
RNAcentral lists this ribosomal RNA (1342 nucleotides) under Mycobacterium sp. DWMJ-377B6. Its description in RNAcentral is "bacterial SSU rRNA". It matches the Rfam family "Bacterial small subunit ribosomal RNA", at positions 81 to 1428 of the family's 1533-position model. The record is from RNAcentral. Lineage: Bacteria; Bacillati; Actinomycetota; Actinomycetes; Mycobacteriales; Mycobacteriaceae.